RNAcentral lists this ribosomal RNA (468 nucleotides) under uncultured bacterium. RNAcentral describes it as "partial 16S ribosomal RNA". It matches the Rfam family "Bacterial small subunit ribosomal RNA", at positions 28 to 507 of the family's 1533-position model. The record is from RNAcentral.
GACGAACGCUGGCGGCGUGCUUAACACAUGCAAGUCGAACGGCAAGGCCCUGCCUUUGUGGGGUGCUCGAGUGGCGAACGGGUGAGUAACACGUGAGUAACCUGCCCUUGACUUUGGGAUAACUUCAGGAAACUGGGGCUAAUACCGGAUAGGAGCUCCUGCUGCAUGGUGGGGGUUGGAAAGUUUCGGCGGUUGGGGAUGGACUCGCGGCUUAUCAGCUUGUUGGUGGGGUAGUGGCUUACCAAGGCUUUGACGGGUAGCCGGCCUGAGAGGGUGACCGGCCAAAUUGGGACUGAGAAACGGCCCAGACUCCUACGGGAGGAAGCAGUGGGGAAUAUUGCACAAUGGGCGGAAGACUGAUGCAGCAACGCCGCGUGCGGGAUGAAGGCCUUCGGGUUGUAAAACGCUUUCGCCUGUGACGAAGCGUGAGUGACGGUAAUGGGUAAAGAAGAACCGGAUAACUACGUG